Molecule: long non-coding RNA, 1875 nt
Organism: Oryzias melastigma (Indian medaka)
Lineage: Eukaryota; Metazoa; Chordata; Actinopteri; Beloniformes; Adrianichthyidae
Exons: 3
Source: RefSeq, a predicted model, not a curated record
UCAGGUGUGCCCAGCCAAUAAGAACAUGCCAGAGCAGGGUAUAUUGGAAAACAUGCAGGAAGGUGGCUCUCGAGGACCAGGGUUCCCUACCCCUGUUCUAGAGUGACCUAAAAGCUAGGAGUUCUCACAAGUGUGGGCUGCAGAAAAAAAUUUGUGCCAUGUCAAUGCUGGUGGAGAAGUCAUUUUUUCAUCCAUGUCAGAAUUAGGUUUUUUUUUACGUUUGAAGUAAUUUAAUAUGGAAAUAUGUGGAUGGUCCAGUAAAGGGCAUUUUAAAAGCAAAAUCUUUAGAAUAACUGAAGGAUGAAAAACACAAACUUUGAAAUGAAACUCUUUCUUCUGGAUUCAGGUUGUGGAGCUGCAGAUUGUCAACGAUCAGCUGUGCUGCUCUGGUCGCAACUCUGAAGUCCAACACAUCCUACCUGACAGAACUGGACCUGAGAGAAAACAACCUUAAUUCUUCAGAUGUUCAGCAGCUCCAGGAUCUGGUGGAGAGUCCAAACUCCAAACUGCAGACUCUGAGGUUGUGAGUGUGAUGUUCCUCCUUUUGGAUCAGAGUGGAUCAUCAUCAUCAUCAUCAUCAUCAUCAUAAUCUGGUCUGCAGAGAUGUUCCUGGAGGUGGAGAGCAGAGUGAUGGAGGAAUCAGAGGAAGUGGAGAUGAGUGUCAGAGCUGCAGCAUGAACUGAUCUGAGAUCAGCUCCACUGUCUCUCUCAGCAUUAAGUGGACAGUUAUUGUGCUGCAGCUCCCCCGGUGGACUGAUGGAGAACUGCACUUCAUCUUCUCAUUCUGACUUGGAGUGUUGAUCUAAAACAUCAGUUGGAUUCAGAUGUUCUGCAGCUCCAGAAUCUGGAGAAACAAAAAGCUGUAGACAAACAGAUUCUUUUCUAGAUGAUCUAUUUCUUCUUUGAUCUGCAUUUGAUGAAGAGAUGUGAGUUUGUGACUGGACCAAUCAAGGAUUGAGGGAAUCAUUGAUCAGACAGAACAGUUCUGGAUUAGAUAGAUCUAUGCGUGGAUCAGGGAAAAACAGGCAGUCAGGCGUUAGAUCCUGUUUCGGUCUCUGGAACAGGGAAAGACUUUUGAACCAGAACUCUGGAUCACAAGGUUUGGCUAAAGAGGACACUAAACACACAAUGGAAGACCGUUUUAGAGCCGUAUCAUCAGGCGAAGGUCAGCAAUUGAUCCUAGCUGAAGACUAUUUUCAUGAUCGUUAGGAUUUAACUCGUUCAUAAACAUGGUGCUUUCAUGUUCCCCUGGGGUUCACCACUGGGCAGCAGCAGAACUCUAAUUGGGUCCAGAUGAUUUGGUUUCUCUGGCCAAAAUAAAACAUUUAGAAUCUCCAGUCUAAAGUGAAGUUGCAAACCACUUCCAUGGAGACUGUUGUCACUAUUUGAUUUUUUUGAAUUAUUUUUUAUGAAUUCUAAUUUUUACGUUUUUAUUUACAUUUAAGGUUUGAAUUUCUGUUGUCAGUUUAAUAUCAAAAGAAAAUGUGUAAUAACUGUGAAUUUGUUAAAUCUAAUCAUUAUGGAAAUUGAGGAACUUUUCCAAUAGUUUUUCUACCUUAGAAUUAUUUCACAUUUAUUGCUUUUCUUUGAUAUUGACUACAGGUUAAUGUUUAAUCCUACUCAUAAUUAUUCUAUUUACAGACAUUUUUUGGGGGAUAUUUUGGAUUUAAUUUUAAAUUUUUAAAUUUCUUUAAACAUAACGAUAGUUUUGUGAUUAAAUCUAUUUAGUCUGAGAUGUGGUUUACACUCAAAUCUUAACGUUUUUGUAGUAUAUUAGAGGUGUUAUACUCUUUGUGUCCAACAGGUGUCGCUGCUUUAUGAAUGUGGUGUUUCUGUGUUGUACCAGACGGCAGAAUAAACAUGGUAGACUGAAAA